GAUGAACGCUGGCGGCGUGCCUAAUACAUGCAAGUCGAGCGAACGGACGAGAAGCUUGCUUCUCUGAUGUUAGCGGCGGACGGGUGAGUAACACGUGGAUAACCUACCUAUAAGACUGGGAUAACUUCGGGAAACCGGAGCUAAUACCGGAUGAUAUUUUGAACCGCAUGGUUCAAAAGUGAAAGACGGUCUUGCUGUCACUUAUAGAUGGAUCCGCGCUGCAUUAGCUAGUUGGUAAGGUAACGGCUUACCAAGGCAACGAUGCAUAGCCGACCUGAGAGGGUGAUCGGCCACACUGGAACUGAGACACGGUCCAGACUCCUACGGGAGGCAGCAGUAGGGAAUCUUCCGCAAUGGGCGAAAGCCUGACGGAGCAACGCCGCGUGAGUGAUGAAGGUCGUCGGAUCGUAAAACUCUGUUAUUAGGGAAGAACAUAUGUGUAAGUAACUGUGCACAUCUUGACGGUACCUAAGCAGAAAGCCACGGCUAACUACGUG
This 497-nucleotide ribosomal RNA is filed under the name uncultured bacterium. RNAcentral describes it as "partial 16S ribosomal RNA". It matches the Rfam family "Bacterial small subunit ribosomal RNA", at positions 28 to 507 of the family's 1533-position model. The record is from RNAcentral.